Molecule: long non-coding RNA, 20417 nt
Organism: Bombus pyrosoma
Lineage: Eukaryota; Metazoa; Arthropoda; Insecta; Hymenoptera; Apidae
Exons: 3
Source: RefSeq, a predicted model, not a curated record
AAAAGCUUUCAUCAUAUUUGAAACACGGGGAAUAAUUUCAAUUUCUCGAAGGUAAAUACUUUUGACGCUAUAUCAGAGCCACGUAGACAAACUUUGCACGAAUAUUUUCAUUUUAUGAUAUUUGGAACAUCCAUGUAGGAAUAUUUGUUGCGCGCGUUAUAAACGGACUACGGUACGAGAAUAAUUAACAAAAUUUCGAGAUAAUUUAAUAACGCAUUUGAAACAACGGAAUAAGAAAGUAAAUGUGUACGUGAAAUUUAAACCUCGUGCUUCGUCUUUUUUUUUCAAGUUAUAUACAAGUUAUAUACUUCGAGCUCGAUGAACUCAGGGUUCUGAAAAAUUAAACUUUGAUAGUCUUCGAUAAUCGCCACUUGAUAAAUUAUAAUAUAUUCGAAGCAUGGUCCUCGAAUCGAUCUUAUUUAACAUCUAAAUAAACGUUUUCCUUCGAUUUAUGCAAAACUUUAAAGAAACCUGCGGUCUAAUGCGUCUCCUUCGAAUUCACGCAUCGUCUUUGUUAAGUCACGAAGGUGCAGCAGCACAUUUCCAUUCUUAUUACAUUUUGCAAUUUCUCGUCCCCAUAAUUAAAUGUCUUCCUGCGCAUCAAGAUCAAGACGUUCGUUUCAAGCUUGGCACGGCACUUAGGCGCUUCCCUGCAUCUGACAUCGACCUGCUUACACAUUACACGUACUCUCCAUCUCGCUCUUCCGUCACUCGCGCGCUUGCUCCGCUAAUUAUCACAUUGAAAAUUGCUUAGAACAAUUUCCAGUUUCGUCUUUUUUAAUUAAUUUGCGAAUUUGCACCGAAUCGUUGCGCAUUCAUACACUCUGCUACGUUUUGGAAGCUUCCAAGGCUUGUUAACUUUGAUCAAGGUCGAUUCUUACGUUCGCUGGAAUUUUUAUUUAACCAUUACGUUUUCGAACGAAUUUUACUUUUUUCUUUGGGUAGUCGGUUAAUGUAAUUCUUAAAAGAGGUAAAUGGAAAGGUAAAAUUAAAUGGAAAUACACGUAACAUGUCACAUAUUUAUAUGUAUACUUGCGUAUAUAGAAAUAGACGAUUCAACAAUCAAACAUUUUAAAUGAACUUCUCUUUUAUCGCUGUAGGAGGUUUCGUAUCGGCAAGGAAACGACAAAUAUUGCGCAAUGGUGCGCUAACGACUCGCGAUUACAUCGAUCUUAAACCCACUGUUGUCUCGUGGCGACUGUAAAUCCUUGAUCGAUCCCUCUGUAUUACACGCGUUUAUCGCACCUAACUUUUGAAUAAAGUUUUAUCGUUAAAUGGCCCAUAUUUAUAUGUACAACGUCGUUCGCUUAAUUACAUUCGUAGAAUACACUGACAAAGUUUAGUCGUUAAACCCUGAGACACUCCGUAUAUCUAAUCACAGAGUUUGCUGUUCGAGAGCAGAAUGCGACAAUCCGUGCAGGAUAGUCCGCGCGGAUUAACUUUUUUUCAGGAACGAAUUAACGGCAGAAGCGUUUCUGCAGAAUCUGAUUAUCUUAUUUUCAGCCGCUAAAUAACGUCGAACGAGAAAAUAGACGUUAUCCAUCUUUCCUUUUUUUCGAGUAACUCCAAAUUGAAAAAAUAAAAUUGUCUUUCUACGUGCUGUAGUCGCCGAGAUAGCGUGACUUUUUCCAUUAGUUACGAUUUCCUCGCGGUCUCCGACCAUUCUCCGACCGUCCGCUGCGAAACAGGUACAACGCUUUAUAAAAGUUUUUCCAUUCUUUCCGCACGUUCAAUCCAUACGACAUACGAAAAAUCUACAUACACGUAAUGCGAGUAACGAGUAGCAAAACGAUUGCCUGUCGCAUCUCGGAUUUUUCGGACGCGAUUGAUCCUAUCGAGAAUUCGAUGGAAACAAAUUCCAUUACGAUGAAAAGUUGUAAGAUGAGAAACGCGAAAGCUGUUGUUGCAUCUUACAACUAAGCAAAAACGAUUAUCGCUGUAUUUUAGUCAAGCGCGAUUGAACGAAAGAUUUUUUCACUCGACUGUCGAAAUAUAGGUCUGCCGGGAAGCGUACAUGCAAUGCGAGAUUUGGCACGCUCUUCCCAUACGACUAGCACUUACCUAAAGUUACCGACGAUUUAAGAAAACCGGGCUCCAUCUCGCUUUUUACCUUUUUUAAAUUUUCAUUAGCUACGAUUUCCUACUGAAAGUUUUUCACCUAUGACGGAUAGUUUCUAAGAGAUAUAAAGCGAAAUGCAAAAAAGAGUUGCGUUUUAAUCGAUAUUUUGCUUACGACGCGACGGAGGAAAAUUGUUUCAAAGUCUUGUUAUAUACGCUUAUUUUAUUUUAAAUAUCGCUUCUUUUUUUCAGGCUUAACUCGAUCGGAUUAAGAACAAAGCGCGUAUCUCGAGUGGGUGCCAGUAACUAAUAAGCCGGUAAUUUCGAGCGAACGUGUAAAAAAAAUUUCCGAAGCGAUUAUACGCGACCGAGGUGAAAACUAACAACAACCGGCCUUGUUCGUAAUGUUCGGCAUUCAAUUUUGAGGGGUAAGCCGGGCAAUUCGUUGAUUCGAGAGAAGAUGCAAAUGCGGCUUGUACACCGAGAGCGUUCACGGAUUAAUCAGAUACUCGUUGUGCCUUUUUUUUUACGAUCUCGCGAUAUGGAAAAUGCGAUGCACGUACGUAUUCGAGAUCUGCACAUGACAAGCGUUUCAAACGCACAUAUGCAGAUAUCGAGCGAGCCGACGCGCCGCGUCAACACAAGCAGAGAAAGAAGGGAACGAGAAAGAGAGAGAGAACGACGCUUGAAAAUACUCGUUGCUAGCCAAAAGAUCUUUCCCCGUUUUUCUUGUCUUAAACUGCAUUAAAUAGUACGCAUAAAUAAAUUACUUUGGACGAUCCGUUUUUUAAACGACAGCCUUAUUGUCGGUGGAAAAUUUAUUUAUCGCGAGCCACGAGAUUCGAAAUGGAUAAAACGAACGAACGUUUUAUAAUAUCGUUAUGUAAGCAAUUUUGACGCAUAUACUUUAAUACGCGAUCGUACUAUUUGGUUCGGCGUUGGCGAUGCGAUAAAUAUUCCUCGAUAAAGCGACUUUGAUAACGUAUACGUAUUUAUCUUAUAAUUAUCGUAAGGAUAGAGCGAAGCUGGCGUCGUCAACACGCGCACCUAUACAUAUUCAUGUGAAUAAUUAUUUGACAGACUCGUAGCUUGAUGCACACGGACAGCGAUGCUUGCUCACGUACCCGUAAGGCUCGUGUGCUUUGAACAGAGUUACCGUAUCAGAAGUCUGACAUAACGCAAUUUGUUCUACUUGGCUGCCGAACACGCCUUCCGUUCGAACCAAGUAACAUUAUAUUUCUUAUUUCACCUUCGCCGGAAACUUUUUCUUACUUUCUCGUCCGUUUUUACAUCAUAGUACAAUUAUAGUCGAUAUAGUCGAUUUGAACUUUCACUAACGAAACAUGUUAUCGCGCGGAUGAAUUGGACGAUUUCGUUUUUUAUACUUUUAAGAACGAUCGCUUCGAACCAUUUCACUCGUCGAAUUUUCUCCAAUUUUUCCCGUGCUUGCGUCGUAAUUUAGUUUGCGUUCCGAUUCCAACCUAGAACGUUCGUUUCGUUUAUUCGUCUUGUCUAAACUGAGCCAACCGGGAUACUUGCAAAUAGUUUAGCAUUACAAUUUUUAUGAUUUUGAUAAAUGUCGCUUUAAGAUUUCUGAUUUUGCAAGCCAUCGACUAUUUUGUUAAAACACGUGCAUGUAAACUGGAAAUGUUUUGGUCGCGUUUUGCAAUCGCACCUUCGCGUAGAACGCGGCAAAAUAUAAUAAAAAUGAAAAAUAAGCGUGUCGUUUAUUUUAUUUACGCAAACAGCCAGCCUUUUUGGGGAUGUUAUCUAUUUAUAAAAAACAUGUUAGGAUAUUUAGCUUAUAAACGUUAGUAUAAUUCGGAAAACAACCGUUUAUCUUGAAAUAUUUUCAUUUACCUUCAUUCGCCAUUAUUUAAACCAUACUUUUUCACGUCGUAACUCCUUCGUUCGUCACUUUUGCCGUAUUCUUAACGAGAUUCCACUUCAAGCAACCAACAACACGGUAAGCAGUUCGUUGAAACAGAAACGAAAACAGAAGCGAUCGCGUUGCUCGCAUUAUUCGAGUCUUUCGAUGAAAACAAUAAGAAUACGGGGACAUAAUGCUUUAUUUGCUGUAUUUAACGAAGUAAAAGAACUGCGACGUAUAGGGAAAUUCCAGAAAUUCGUUUCGUGUUUCUGUCUGUAAAAGAGAUACCUCGGCUCUGCCUUUUGGAGUUGUUGUUUUAAUCGAUCAACUACGAGAUACGUACGAAUACUCGGUGCUUCUAUUUUGUUUGCCUUUCGCAUGUCCUUCUCUCCCGUUUCUAAUAUCACUUUCCUACCGUGCGUUUCGUCGCAUCCAAUAAUAUACACGCGUGUAUCGUCUCUCCUUGCGUAUGUAUAUCUUGUCAAUAACGAUAGUAGUUAAAUCAAAUACAUUCUGUUAAACCACCGUGUUAAUUUCCAACAUUGCUGUAACUUCAUUUUCAAACGUAUCGAACUUUGAUGAUAUUUAACAGAAUUUUUGAACGCCAAACCUUAUUAUAGUAUUGAUCGCACGAUAUUUGUAGUAAGAUUUAAUACGAAGAGUUAAACGCUAUAAAUAAGAACUUCCAUGCACAUAUAUAAAUAUUUGAUGGCAGAUACGUGUACGUAUUGCUACUCGUUUGCCGUUACCACAAUGUCAAUUAUACGAUUUUUACAGUAAUAUUUUACUAUACUUGAAUAUUUUAUGAGCAUCGAUCCCAUCAAGGAAAAUUUCGAACACUAGUCGUCAGGAAAAUUCAACUAACGUUUUCGCAACUAAUUUAAGUAUAAACGGUUUUCUUAUCGUUUUAACUUCCACGAAACUUUAAAGUUUAAAGUCUAGGACUUAAGGGAAUGAAUAGUUUCUGUAGGAACAACGUCUCGCUUGUUUGAAAAAUGGGUGACUUUAAAUUUCCACGCAAGGAUAUUUUAGAGUUGAACCGAACGACUAUUAAAGAUUUUAUGCAAACGCGAGGAUACAGUUCGUUUCGUCCGAAACCGUUCGAAAAUAAUUCUCGCGUUUCCCUCGUUCGUAAUAUAGAGUAAAAUUCCAGCAGAGCAGCGUUUAAACGAUUUAUUUUUCCAUGGAACACUCUGUGCAUAUAUUAUAAUACCCGACUGAAUCAGAUUUAUCUCGUUUUUUCGCUAAUGUAAGUUUACGGUUUGGCAUAUCCCGUAUCGUAACAUUUUUAUCGACGAGCAAAAUAUAAAUAUCGUUGAUAUAAUUGGUUCCGUAAAAUCCCUCUUAAAUAACGUUAUCCUUCUUAAAAAUGUUAUAUCUCGCUAACGCCGUAAUUUUCUCGCUGAAUAAAGAUUCGAAUAAAGGUGUAUUUAUAUAUACAUAUAUCUCGUUUCUUCGAGCCAGAACCGACACGAGAAUUCGAAUUUCGAUUUACUUUUUCGCAAGCAAUUGAUCGACGAUCCUUCGAUAUCAAUCCUGUACACGCAAAUUACGUAAAUUGCAAACGGUUGCUUGAUCGUGUUUGCAAACAGCAAAAUUUCAACCUGUGUCCCGGUGUAUUAGUUUUAUCGCGGUGCAUUUAUCCAGAAAAUCAAUGCCAAACUACACUGUUUUCGGUGGCAUAAUCGAGAACACGAUUUGAAAUACGCUUGUUAUACGUGCAUCUUAAUGCUCGUAGAUACACGUAGCUGCGUCGCAUCGGCGGAUAUACCAAGGUCGUACAAUCAAUCGAGCCGAAAACUACGAAUGUUUCGGUCGUCGAAACAUCAACUUGAGGCGUCGAGGGGUGAAACAAAGAAUUCAAGCGUCCUUCAGACGUAAGAUAUCUUUCAAACAAGUUCUUUCAAGUACGAUAUUAAAGAUAUUGUACAGAAUUUAGCGAUCAUCGAAAAGUUUCAUUUUUCAUGCUUUAGAGCGUGUUAGAGCAAAGUUUGAUCUUUAACACCGAUGGCGUAAGUACAGAUAUUUUCGAAAGUAUGCAGUUUUCGCGACAUUUUUCAAUGAUCCUACGUACUUCCCUAGCGAAGGUUACGCAGAAUUUAAAAGCAUUUGACUUUAUUCUUUGGCUCAAACCGUGGAACCACGACGAUCUACGCAAACGCGUGGCAGACGUGUACAUAGUUGGAAAAAUUUCAAUGUAACGCCUUUGAUUAUCUUAAUUGAGUAUCCUUGAAUUUUCUUCGAUAUCUUUGUAUUUCAAGUAUAGAAAAAUAUUCGUUGACCUUUUGUAUCGUUUGUCAAUAUUUUCGUUAUAUUCGGAGCACACGGUUGAUUCUAUAUGAUCCUAUAGAUAAAGGCCAAGGUAAAAUUCGGUCGUGUGCACGUGCUCGGUAGUUUCUCGCAACCAAUUUUCUAAAAAAACGAAAUUCCCAGUAAAAGAACCUCGCUUUAUGUUUUCGAUUUAUUUUUGUUCGAGAAUCGAUCUAUACAGCUAUAACAAAAAAAAAAAAAACGUUUGUUUCGUAUGUAUUUCAAUGUAGUACACGUGCUAUCGACUACGCCUUAUUAUAAUUAAGAUUCUAUUUAGAAUUUAUCAAUACGAUCUAUGUAUAAUCGGACUUGUUAAAGUCAUUUAUUAUAAAGUCGGAUUUACUUUAUUUAACGCGAUUCGAUUUGAACGAACCGUUCGGUAUAGAAUUACCAAGUUAAGUAGGAUACUAAGUAAAUAAUUAAUAUUUUAUUGACUAUUUCCAAUGUACUUCCCCUGCAGUUGCUUAUCGUGCCAACAACUUAUGCAUAAUUUAUAUCUUCGUCCUACUUAUGCAUAAAGUAGAAGCAUCGAAUGCAGGCAACGUAAAUCCCAGCUAUUGCUCCGCCGCGGCGUCGAACGAAGCGCAUUGGACGUAAUCGAAUGAAAAUUUAAGCUGACGUUUCAAGUACUUUCAUUCUGCGUCGGAAAUUAUUUCGAGAGGACCGACGAUGAUUUCUCUUUUGGCAAUAUUUUCAAAGAGCCGCGUUUUCAGGCUCGAAACCUCAAGCGUCGCGAUUCUUUUAAUCUCGCGAGGAGAACGCGGCCAGAAGUGGAGGUACGCUUUUUAAAUGAAUUAUCUCGGGAUUUUAAAUUCAUCGAGCUAUUUGAAAAGAGAACACGACCCGUCUCUCCUUCCCCGAUCGAAAUGAAUCGGUCGAAAGAAAUUAUUACGUUCGCGAAAAAACGUCCAAAGGUGACGUAUAUUCGAGUUUCCGAUACAAAAUACAACGAGUACACGAGGAAUACGAACGAAAGAAUCGAACAACUAUUUUUGGCGCGUUCCUAGCUCAUUCGGAUGUGAACACGAAUCGUGAAACGGCAAACGAACGCUCUUUCGUGCUUUCGUUCCACCAAAUUUCACUAAAAUGGGGCGAGACGGCUCUAGAGCAGCUCGAAUCGACGUAUACCAUCGAUUUAUGGGCAAUUUCAAGAAACAGGCAACUUCAACUUGAGUAGCUGAAAGUCGGAUGCGUGGAACGUCGAAUAUCGUAGCUAAGAGAUUAGAAAGGUGGCAGUUGCGAGUCAAUGGAAAGUCUAGGUCCGAGAGGAAGCUGUCCUCGAAUUGCUUCUAUCCCUUGUCGAGACUUUACGACACAUCUGUCGUUUACCGAGGGUGUAGAUAACGAGUCUCGCCAGGUCGUGUCGUAAAAUGAAACGGCACGCCAAAUCGAACCAUUGAUCGCGUCAAUUUCGAAAAAAUCUAUGGUAUCUUCAAAAGGACAUAUUAACCCGUAGAGCUUGUAAAGCCAACAGGUGUAGCGGAAUUUGCAAUUAACUUUCCAAUCACAUCUAAACUAACUCGAGCCUCUUUGGAAAAAACACGAUCGACGGAUCUACGGGCUUUAUGGCUCUGCUACCUACGCGCCAUAAGCCAAACUAAUCCAUAGAUACUUUAAAUUCGCGUCUCCUUUCCAAUGAAAAUCGUCAACCUACCGAUAAAUAAAUCCGUCAACCGGUCAACGAAUCCUAAAACUAAGAAAUAUAUUUUUCUCGCAGUACGUUUAACGAUUUUACGAUGAUUGUCAUUUUCAUCGGCGUAACGCGUUUUAUCUAAUCGAUGGCACAGCUAAUUUGAAUCAUAAUUGGAUUGGCCCCGAAUAACGGCAAGGAAAAAUCAAAAGGAAUUAAUUUACAGCGAUAAUUAUAGGAAGAAUCGUCGUCGUUGGCAUUCGCAAAUAUAUACAUACAGCUGUUUAAUUGGAUUAACCAGUUUAAUGGGUAAAACUAGUUUCAAUAAAUCCAGUCGGUAGUUUAGAUAUUGGAAGAUCAAGGACGAAGUGGUCCAUAUCAAACUUGGCUUUCGCAAUGUAACCAAAAGUUUCAGUGCGAAACUCUAAGUAGCAAGUAAUUUAUCAGCAACGUACGUGGAACAGCUUACGCCACACACGUAAUAAUCCAAAUUUACAUAAUAGCUAGAACCUGAGUUUUAUCGUUUGCGAUUGAUAAAUGCGUACUAUACAUAUAUAUAUAUAUAUACACACAGAUAGGUAUAAGGGAAACGAUGAAACAUUCUCAGAAAUUUCUCUGGCGAAAUGAAACGAUAAUACGCGCAUACACGUUGUUUUGCGUUUUAUUUCGCCGUACUUUGUGUUUUAUUUAUUUCGUACUUUCAAGUAAAUAUUACUUUCUAUUCAUUUUACUCGUAUAAAAACGUAUUAACUUUUUGAUGCUCCGGAGCGUUUCGUUGUAUUGUUACUUCGUAUAAAUUAACAUAGAAAACGCAAAGGAUACUUUCGAGGUACAAAUUUAGUUUUAAUAAAAUCGCCAGGUUAACGUUAGCGAAGCUGUUAAACGUUUUGGGAUACGAUCAGAUCGGAUCCCAUAAAUAUAGAAAUAAAUAUUUUUAGGAUUCGCCGGCUAUCGUUUUUCGCAUAGCAUUCUUUUCUCGUUUUUAGUCUUAGAACAUGCUAGCGUUUCGUGGGAAACCCUGCAGGUAUUUUACGCCGUACGAUCGUCGUGCCAAGUGCGGACGAAUUUUUCCAUUAAAGUUCAGAAAUACCUUUUGUCAUAUUCGAAUUGCUGAAAGGCAUGUGUCGAUAUCGUGGAUAGCUCAAUUUGUUAGUGCAGCAGUCCGGCAAAAGAAAACUCGGAUUCCAAUCUCAAACUUAUAUAGAUUACGUGGUCGGACUUCCUUCCUUGCAGUUUUCAAAAGUAUUACCUCGCGGUAUAUGAAACGUUUCUGCCGAGUUUUAAUUUCACCGGCUAAUACCAUUCGUUAAAUUUUAUCUUACCUUUAGCAACGUUACGAUUGCACGGCGCGGAUUACUUUCUCUUCGGGGUUGUAAAUCGUCAGUUAGAUAACCAGAUUCUUUCGCAUAGAGUCUUCUCUAAUAAUUCGCCAGUAUGUUAUUAUCGGACAACGAUCGAAAGACGAACGGAACGCUCGACUAUAUAUCGGAGAAGCAUACGCUGCCGUUUAAAAGUAUCCGGACGCUUGCUUCUCUUUGUCGAGAGACGCGAUUCGAUCACGAAUUUACGAGAAAGAAGAUUUCCAAUUAUUUCGUUGCUUGUCGCAGUUACAGCUGCGUAUGGCGUCGAUUAUCGUAACGCGAUGAAACUUAAAAACAAUAUGCGACAACCUGAUACGCGAUACAACGCCACCUGAUCGUCCGUGGUUGCGUACUUUCUUCGUCGCUUGAAAAGCUCCUUAUCCUUGGAUCGUUUAAUUUUAUAAUUUUCAAUUUCUCGCUGUUUCGUUCGGCCGCUCGAUGUUUUGUUAUUACACGUAUAAAGGAGACCCUUCUUUUGCCGAUAUAAAGGCUACCGACUCAGGUUAUCUCAAACAGGUAAAUCUAUGAAUCGUAAUUUCAUUGUAAAAAGAUACCAUUUUAAGCAGGAUUUACGUUUACCGCUUCUAGUCGUUAAUUUACCAUUAAUUUGAAAAUUCGCCAACGUUCGUUUACCGUUACCAUAAAUCUACCAAAGUGCCGGGGUAUCUGUCGGGCCGAUCGUUGAACGUUGUUUCCAACGACUGACAAUAAUUCGACUCUGACCGUUUUAGAAAAAUUGUGUACGAGUUUAGCCUGAGAAUCAUUGCGAUCCCCAAGCUUUGUAAUUAAUAUGUUUGCAAUACAUUUGCCGAUAUCGCACAUCGAACAUAGAUAGGCAAUUAGAUUUCUAAAUCGAAGAGCCCGCGAACAAACCUCGAUAACUAAUUUGGUCCUCUCCGAAACCGGUUCAAUAGCAAUCGCUGCAUUAUAAUCUGUCCGUAGAUCUAACGAUUUCGCUACACGGACCACAGCUCUCGAAUGUGGCUUUAUGUUUCGACUACGUUUCGAUUAUAAUUGUACGUCAUAAAUUACAAAUUAACCGACGACCGAUAGUUUCAUCGAAAACAGAGUCGAGUGGCACGCUGAUGCUCUUUGACCGAAUACUUGACACCAUCGAUCUGACCGAAAACCAUUCUCUCCUCGAUACAACCUUUUACUUGCUUUAAAGUCGAUAAAUCAAUGAUCAUAAAUUCAUAGAACCACGAAGAGUCAUUAAAUUAAAUAUAUAAAAUGACGUAAACUUCGUCUACGUAUAUUGCAGUAACGAAAGACUGGUUACAACGAAAAGGUAAAAAUUUUCAUUCGUUUUGCUCUAAAUACUAUAUCAAAUAUCAUCGAUCGUCGAUGACCGUGACACGACUGCGGCGAAGUUUACGGAAUGUUUCCCAAGAGAAGCUACUUUAUGACGAAAUUGUUCCACGAACGAGCGGUAGCUAACUAUGUACGAUCGCCUGGCCAACCAGUCUACCGCGGACCACUUUGCAAUUUUCUUCUACAAUAAUUUAUAGAGGCGAGUAGUCGUACUGCCGUAUGCGUUAAGAAAUCUAUCCACGAUUAUUAUCGAUAACGUUGACCGAUCGAAGCCAUGUUCGUGCGUUAACUCGGCUUGCCCACGUCUAGCGUCUCGAUAUCGCUACUACCUUGUACCGGCAAAUAAUAUCCAUUUCCGAAGAACGAUCAACGUACAAAUAAGAUGAAUACAAGAAGAAAUAAAAUUCCAUUUUGCAAGUGCGACGAAUAAUCGCAAUACACGUGUAUCGUUACUAGCACGGUGAAAAGUAUCUGGCACGCAGUUAGAUACCGAUACUUAUAUGCAAAUUCCAAUUUUAAACUUUCUUUUGACCAGAACCGGUGAACAACGGUGGUUUUUCGGUUCGUUACCAACUCCGUCACCCACGUAGCUAACGUGGAUGUAGCAUAAAGUCAUCCCGUUUCUAUAUUUAUUACACGACCCGCAGAAUUUUGCAGCGUGUUUUUGCUUUUUCAGCAGUAGAAAAGCGUAACGCGUGCAACAAAGUUGCUCUUUAUUUUUUUAAACGUUUUAAAACUGCGCAACAAAUGCCAGGGUUCGCCGAUCACGAUAAAUUAUUGAAAAUGAUUGCCGAAAUGAAACUUUUAAAACGAUACGCAACAUUUGUGGGCGUGAAGGAGAAAGCCGACUCGGGAAAACCAUGUUGCACCAUCAAACGGGGAAAAAAGGCGGGACGAAUAUACAUAUGUGACGACUUAAUGUAAACGAUUAUUUCAUAAUAAAUUAUUCCUAGAUAUCGAUUUUCAGCGAAAGAAAACAAAAUGAUAUUCGCGGAUAUACGCGUGCAUCUAUAAUAUUUUUUAUACAAUUUAUAUCUUUAUAUCUUUGCAUCUUGCAAGCAUAUGCAAUUAUAAUAGGUAUAACCGUAUAUAGUUCGUAUCAAGUACAAAAUGUUGAAUAAUCCGAUUCGAUGUUUCCGCGUUAAUCCCUUUGAUAACGCAAUAAAGAAACGUAGUUGUUACGUGUCAAGAUUUCUCGCGUAUGUGGUAUCAGAUACAGAAAGUAUGCGCGCUUAACUCUUCAUAGAAAAUAAAGCUCUGCUACAGUAUCCGAAUCGCGAAAUAUUCGGCUAGAACGACGCUCUUUGGGGGGUUUUUAAGGUCGUUGAAGCUGAAAACGAGGGUCGUUUUUCACGGAAAUAAGGCGUAAAAGAUUUCGCUGGAUCCGUCGAUGCGUGACGUCUUCGUGGAUUUUGACGAGACGCUUUUUCAAAUUUACCAUUCUCCAGCGAUCGUACGAUUUACUCUGUGUACAUCUGAAUCGUGAGUAGAGAUUUGCUUUCUUUUUUAUUUGUUUUAUUUUCGAGGAAAAUGGUUUUCAGCUUCGACGAUCCAAUAUAGGAGGACAAGUUCGACAGAAACACCUUGCAGUCCGGAUAUUACAGCGAAUCGGAAGAUAAAUAUAUAGGAUUGCGUUAAAUACGAUGACGCUUAAGGCAUAAAGUUUUCUAGCACUAUGUUUGAUGUUUUGACCGGAUAUUUUGUGGAAAAUACGCGACACACCGUGAAACGUUUACAACGUACAGAUCUCUGGUAAGUCUUGGGAGCAAUUUUAUCGGUGGAAUUUCGACUUGUCGACUUUUACAGGCAUACUAAUACGUUUGAAAACAUAUAUGUAACCACGAUUUGACAAUUUUCCACGUUUAUCGUACAAAAGCUAUAAAUGUAGAGAACUCGAUUCACAGUUUGCGGCAUUAAGUUGACGAGUUGAUAUUUGGUUGGUCUUUGGGAACAAGACGCUCGCAAAGCCAUGUUAGCCCAUCAAACAGUUACUUGUCGGCUUCGCUUCUGUUACGAACUUUGUCCACGCCUGAGUAAGUACACGCCUGACGGGAAUUCAAUUGAACUAGCUGGUAAUACAAUUUUCAAAAAGAGGUGUCGCACAAUUUUCCCGUUGGAAAACUUCUAUGUAUAAUUGACUUCGCGAACAACGACAUUUAUCACCAAGUAGCUAAUAUUAAAAACCUACGAUCGAGACUUUCGCCAACUAUAAUCGAUUUUAUUCGUCGUCCCGUCUUGUGGUUGCCUCUUCCAGAAAACUCAUAUUUCGUGAUUCAUCGAAUUUCGAUCGCGUUAUUAGUACGUUGUGUAACAAGAAUCUCACAUCUGCCCUGAAGAAGAGGACCGGAAUGUGGAGGAAACAUCGGAACCAAAUGCUUGUAUUCGCUAACAUUGAAAGCCGAAGAAUCGGAAAUACGUUAUCCGAUAAUAUUGUGAAAGUUGAAAGUCCAAAAUGAUCGUAAGUAAGGCAAACGCAUAUGCACGCACGUAAGAUAUUCCACGUUCAAAUUACGUGUGCCGUAGUAAUACAUGGCGAAUGUAAAUACAUGGAAAAUUGUACAAAGUUAUUUUGAUAUUCGGAGGAAAAAUGUUCGUUUUAUUACUAGGAAACCGACAACGAUUUUCGAUACUUCGGAUUAAAACACAUUCAGAUUAAUUGCCAUGAAAUUGUUAAUUUUGCGCAUCCAGCGUUCUGAUUGCAUUUUCCUGUUCAUCGAUGACUGAUAUCGACACAGUUUAUAUAUCACCUAAUAGUACAUAGACAUAGCGGUUAAUGAGAUAAUCGAUGCCGACAUACUGUAAUUGGAUUUUGCUGCAGGCACAUCGUCUCCAGUAAAUCCGUGCGAAUACCGAAUUUCCUUACCAAAUGUCACGCCUCUUUCUUUACAUAAAACAUACAUCGAUUUAUAAACAAGUUAACUAUAUGCGUUACGCUUUCGUUAAUUGAAUUUUUACUGUUAUUUACGUACUGUCUAUAGCUUCGAACGAUUUUUAAGAUCCACGAUGUUAUUGCAUUUAUACAUAUUACGGUGCAAAUUUUCGGUUACCCGGAAAACGAACUGCAAAUAAUUGUUAUAACAAUACAUCAUAGACAUAAAGAUACUUGUUCGUACCUUUAAUUCGAGUCCGAGGGGACGGGGGUAGCACUCAAUUUAAAACUCUAUUUAUUGGCAUAUCUCUAAAAAAUUGACGAAUCAGGCAAAAUUACGGACAAGUACGGUGUCGCGAAAGGAACAUCUAAAAAUUCCAUAAUUACGUACACAGACGUAUGUAUACGUAUAUGGAAAAAGGUACACCUGGUCGAUUUCGACGAGCUUGAUACACGCUGCCAAGACCAACAUUCUGAACAACCGCUCCAAAGAUAGUCGCAAAAAAAUUCGAUUAAAUUUUUAAACAGGUGGCCGCAUUUUUAUACAGCUCUACAUAAACUUAACUUGUCGAUGCUGAUCGUCUUUGUAAGUAUUUAUUAUUAUUAUUAUUAUUAUUAGAUAUAUCGCCAAACGUACUUUCGCGUACGGCUCUAGAACCAAAACCGUGCGCAGUUAUCGUUAGGUUGCGCGUGGACAUGGACGCGUAUACGUAUCUGCUUACUGUAUUAGCGUGUACGUGACAAACGGACAACUAAGGCAUAGCGAAGCAUUUCGUACAUCGAUAACUUGUAUUCUCUUUAAUUGAUAUUGUCGUUGAUCAUAAGCGUCGCGCGCUGAUAUGGAUUUCGCUAGGGUUUAGCGGAGAAAGCAACAGACACGCAACACGUGGAUCCAUGGAUAACCUGGUACGUAUAUCUUUCUGACAUUUACGUGUUUCUUCCUAAAAGCAUUGUCCCGAUCCAACGCGAUCUCCGGUUGCCUUCCGCCUCAAAGUGGACUCGAUAUUUGUCGUGCAACAGCAUUAUUUAAACGUUUACAGUAUGGACAUAUCAGGUGAACAGGAAUUGGCUGUCAGCCAGUUCUGCAAGCUGGUCUCUCGGUACGUACUUUCGAUGGACGUUCGGUAGAUCUUUUGGACACGUGCCAUUUCAUUAUUUUCACAAUGCCGCGAUGCCUUCGUCGUCGUCGUCGUCGUCGUCGUCGUCGUCGUCGAUAUCGUGGCACCCGAAACAUUUCAGUUUCAUUUUUUAUCUCUUUCAAAUGUACGUCGUGUAUCGCGUACGUUUUUCGAUAUUUCGAUAUUUUGAGUUGAUUUUUUACGAGACUAAUAUCGCAUAUAAAAUGACACGUACGUUAUUCGUCUUCUUUUCCGUUUAUCGUUGCAAGUGUGUUUACGAUUAAGAAGAAAUAUUCUACGAUAAAAUGUAUUCAUCUACGUAAAUUAGACGGAAUGCGUCAAAGAGAUGGAUCGAUCGUGGGUAUAAACUGUGAAUGGGAAAAUAGAGAAAAGAAAUGUUAAGUGAUUUCGUUGCUCGAAAUAUCAAAAGUCUGGUCAGAGAUAUAGGUAUUGCACGAACGGACAAAAGAUGAUUUUUUACACGAGGAUGAAACAAAAGUACCGAUAGAAAAUAGAAAUUUUUUAGAAAAAUAGCUUUUUCUACCUCUUUCGCGGCUUUUUUCGUGUUACAAGAAAAAUGACAGAAGCUUCUUGGUUACCCGAGACAUUAUCUGCUUGCCAAGUCACCUGAAACCUCUUUGUACGCAGCUUCCGUACACAACAAAAGAUAUUUUAUCGUUGUUUAGAGAGGUCUAUAACAAUCUCCGUAACAACGUCGAUCCAUUACAACAGCAACGUACGCUUGCGUCGAAUUUCACGAAGGAUACGUUGGCGAUAUAGCGAUAUACGUAAUACGAAAAGAUGUACAAAAUAUGUGCAAAACCAAAAUACUCGUUACAACGGUUAAAGGAUUUCUAUGAUUGAUCGCGAAACGAUGAAAAUCAAUUACCAACGUAGGUAUCGAAGACAAACGCUACGUAUUAGGUUUGGAGCAGCAGAAAAGGAAGAAAGACUUUCCGAAUCGUUAAAUAUGCACGACUUUAAGGAUUCAACGCGACUGGCCCUUACCUACGAGGUAUUAUCCUGAAUAAAUAACACGCACUUGAAACAGGUAUCGGAGAAAAAACAAGCUUAAAUUUCGAAAGCUUUAACGUUUCAAAGGUUAAGGGUUAAAGGCGUAGAUCGAACGAUUCGCUCGUUUCACGAAACACUGCUUCGAAGAACGAAACAAACGUUGCGUAAUACCUUAGACUAUGAUAAAAUACGACCGUGUCGAAAAUCAUAACGCACAGGUCGGUACGACGCGCCGUGACCUACAAUGUAUUAGACUAUCGAACGAAAAUCACGGUGUUCCUCGCGGUGAAUCCCGGGGGGAAUAUCGUCGGAUAUCGAAUCCGGUGCUGGUCGGACGUCGACCAUGGAAACCGAUUGGUUAGAACGUACUUGGCAGCGAUGGUAAAUAUCCCUGUCUCUGUAUUCUGUUGCUCAAAGUUCGUUGAGAAACGUUCGCGAGUAAACUUUGUCGGACGACCGAUGUUCGAAACGAUUAUCCGUUAAUUGAUAUUUGAUUCCAGUGCGACGGUAAGGCAGCUUUGAUGGUAACGGGAUAACUUUAAUAACGGCGUGCUCGCUAUUUUACGUGAUUCGCGUCUUAGCUACGCCGCGUUAUUUCCAUCGUCUUCGAUUCGAUCGUGCUUCUCGACCCUUCGAUUUUACGCCAAAGUUUUCUUAAAACGUUAAAAGCGUCUUUUUGCCCGCUGAAAUAAGAGUCAGAUCGGGCCGUACAGACCGGAGAAUCGCAGCAGAGUGAAACUUUGGAAGCUGAUAUCGCGUAAAAACAAGCAUGGAAAGCGUUAGAAGCAACUUGACCAAUUACGAAUUAAUGAUGGCAAAGCGAGGAUGCGACGAUAGAGAGAAAGCCUCGCUGAAAUCAGUCGAAUUUCGAACGACGAUUCAAGCGAUUUGAAUUCUAGGAAAUUAGCUAACAAAGUAUAGAAAUUCGAAAGGAUAUUUCAAGCGAUGAUAUUUAUCGUUUACCGGACAUCUUCGAAUCACCAACGAGAUGCAUAUUUGAAAUUCGUCGCUCUUCGCUCUUUGAUUUUAACAAUAAAAAUGAAUUUGCGUAAGAGUCAAAACGAAUAAGUAUUCUAUCGUUACGUAACUUGGACGGAACAAUGAUCGCGCGAAUUCUAUAGGAUGUUUCUAAACCGAUGAUAUAACCCGAGCAAACACGAUAAAGACGAAUUCUGUGACUUUAUUUUUGAUAUAUCGUCGUUGAAACACUCGUCGAUUUACGUUUCUGAUUUCCUCUCGUCCGCUUGGCUCGUCCUUAGCGGCACCGUCCGUUCUCAAACGCUUAGUCAAGGAACUUUAUCCAUUGAAACAUUAGCGAAUACGGAAAACCUAUAAAGACCGCGAAAGGAACGUGGCAAGAUUUAUCGGCAUCCAACAUCGGGUGAAAUAUUCGUCAAACUACCGUAAGCUAAACUUUGCUAUCGUAAACUAAAUAUUAAUUCGACUAUUUGCGUAUAUCUAAUUUACGUAAUGGUACGUUGCCGAAUUCGUGUCAGCGAAACUUUGUUGGAGUUUGAAAGACUAUAUAUUUCUCUAAAGAAUCCAGAAUGACAGGAGAAAAGAAGUCGAGGCUAAAAAUAUCGUUAUCUUUGGAAGCCGCAACGCCUCUGAAUUCUUUAGCUACAGGAUUUUCCAUUUAGGACGAAAGGAUCGUGUAUCCGAAAUCGAUAAUAACCGCACCGCGAAGAAGAACUCGACGUAAGAAAGAGGCAAAGUAUCGGUCUUUCUUUAGGUUUCUAUUUUGAUCCGCGCCCAGAUUCCAAUUGGAUUCCCAAGUUCAAUCGAAUUACGAUAUCUUCUCGUUUACGUAUGAAUUUCUAGAGGAACGUUAGUGCCGAACACGUUGGUCGAGCUUUCGCUAAGAGAAACGGCAUAAAGAAUCGAAGAAGAAGAAGAAGAAGACCGUGUUACGAGUUUGUACAACUAUGUACGAACUUUGUCGCAAUACGUACGAGUAAUUCGUUUUUACUCGUUAGCGGUAUGUUCAACUCGCGCCACACUGACUCUGCAGUUUCGUACUGUUAUACGCCGGAUAAAGCGCAACGUUGUUACCGGGUUUUUCGAAAUCUUACAAUCUUUCGAAUUUUAAAGAUUCGGACACACGUUGAACCAUCGAUGACGUUCGCUUUCCACCAUUCUCGCGAUACGAAUAACGAUAUCCUCCUGAAUUCGCUCAUCGUUCGAACAUGCAACGAGUCAAAGUGGAACACUUAGGACGAGCCGGUUUAAUAUAAUUUUGAUUUCUCCGUAGGCCAGAUUCGUUAUGGCAUUCGAAUAACGGACGUUAAUUUUAAAAGCGUGUACGGAUACCCGAUAAGGAGAAUAACGUCUAUCGGUUAUUCCGUCAGGUAUUCCGUCAGAUCCGUCAGAUCGAACCUGAGCUUGCUCGCUAUUUGCCGAAUAAUCUCGGGAAUAGCCUUUGCCGAUCCAACGAGAAAGGAAAGUUUCAUUUACAUGGAUAAUUGCAUAACUUAAUAUUUCGUUAGGUUCGCCGUGUAUGCUAGGUGCGAAGCUGCCAUCCGAGAUAUACGAUAUACCGUAUUCGUCUCUCGUUUCGAGUUAGGACGACGCGGCGCGACGUAGAAUAUUUAUGGUGUUCCGAGUUGACGGCAGGUCUUCGUCGUUUGCCAGAGGGACACGGCGCGGCGCACCAUGAAUAUUUAGAAAAUUAAAUCGGCCAACUUGGUCGUCCCCUUUCGUUCGUUCGCCGCGCCUAUGUUUCCCAACUUCCGAGUAAUCGUAACUUUGUUUUAAUAGAUCGUUAAAUGCGCGAAAUUACGUCGCUCGCAAUGAGCAACCGUUUCGACCGGCCAUUCCGUUUCCAGAGAGAAACUCGAACGAUUCGCUCUACGAUCUACGAUCCGCAACAAAGAGAUUUCCUCUGGGUCUAAGGCUGAAACUAGCAGAUAGCUCGGCGAUGGAUUCGAUCGGCUCUCGGCCGUUCACAAUGGAACGAUUCGCAUCGAGAAUUUACAUCGUCCUGCAUAUUUAUACGAUCGCAGAUUAAAACCGCGCAGAGAAUCAAAGAGAUUCAAAAUAUAACUUGCCUCUUGCUUCCAUGGAACAGCUUCGAUUUCCUUGCUUCCAGAACCUACGAAGAAAGCGGCUUUGUUCGACGAUUUGAUUUUCCGGCUGAAUAACGAGAUAUAGUUGUCGAGUGUUUUAAAUAAACUCGUCGAGAACGUUGGAUAUUUAAAUAACGGAUUCGGGUAUAUCGACGAUUCUUUUUUCAAGAUAUCGAUGCGGAAAAACGUAGGUAAAUCCGCGUUGCCUUAGAACGUCCUAUAAAAAUGCAACGACGAUCUUAGAAGAAAUGGAAGAGGCGUACUUUUUAACAAUAACUAGGAAAUCAACAAUAACUAGGAAUGUCGACGAAAAUUUCUUAUCGUACGAAGUGAUAAAUUUAUGGAAACGUUUGUUCGAUCGCCGCACGGUAAAAGCUUUACGAAUCAAUUACGUAUUUAUUAUAUCGUUUAACCGUUGAACGAAAGUAACUGAAACAAGGUAAUUGAAAUUGGAUAUUUUUUUAAGGCAACGGAUUUUACUUGCUCUUUAGAUUAAUGUUUCAUCGAAGAAGGAAUAAUAGCAGGUCUUUAUUACCUAGCUAGGUCACGCUAUCGAUAUAGGUAUGUAUUUUGCAACUACUUGUUGCUUUCCAACGAAAUGGCUGUCGUCUACCAACGUCUAACUAACGUUGUAUAAUAGGCGGUACCAUAAUACAUCGUUGUACGUACUAUGAAAGCGAAGGUUAAACGAUUAAACCGUUUUCUCGACAACGUAGUUAGAAGAAAGAUGCCAACCACUUUGUCCUAGAAAGUUGUCUACCUUGGGUCCUCGUGUACGACACAAUCGACUUUACAAAUUUUCAAAGCAAAUCUUUAUUAAUCUAUAAUCUAUAAUCAUCGUCCGCUUUGGCAAAAAGUUACAGUUUGAAAAAAAGCUGGCUCAACUUUAGCCACCGGCUUUACGUUUCUUUUCCAAUCGAUUCAACGAGAGACAGCUUUCCUAUUACGAAAUUUCCCGACGUUAUUCCAGUAACCGCAACCGUGUUUUCAUCUCACAAGAACUGCAAAAUGCAAUCUCACCCAUUGCAAAUACAACUAUGUAGUUUAUUCGUUGCCUCUGGUGUCUUGUUGCUUUAUAAGCUCAUACGGCGCGGCGCGACGUCAUGAAAAUCGAAGGCAUCGCGGAACUACCUGGUAAUACACCUUUGCCACGUUUCACCAACCAAAACGUAUCCUCGAUUUGUUCCCAAGGUUUUCACAUUUUCACCGCCACAGAAACGACCGAUCGAAACCAAGCGCAGAUACCUACGUGUCGCUUAACAACUUUUUCCUCCCGCGUAAUAAACAACGAUUAAUAAAUUGACCGUUGGAUGGACGAUGGACGUUCGAUAGAACCGUAUCGAUUCUACCGCACUCGCGAACAAGAUAUCGACGCGAUAUCGUCGCAUCUGCAACGCUUUGUGCGACAUAUUUUGCGUACAUUGUCGUUGAACGGAAGAUAUCUGGUACGUAAAUUCGGGCAAAGAUCCAAAGAGAAUGCGCUCGAUCCAUCUAGUUCGUUAGCACGUACGAUACCCGAAAGGAGUGCGAAUCCGGUAGAAAUCGACUAUCUAGACGGAUACGAUGGGGGAUGAAACAACAUUUUUAUCGAAAAAUAAAAUUGUACAAGAAUUAGGGAUACCGGAAAUCGAGUCUCGUAACGUAACUCGUGGCGCAACUAGGAACAGGGUGAUUCUACAUUCCACGUAGAUAUUCGUCAAGUCCAUCUUUGGUAUUUAAAAUCAAUGUCGUGGAAAAGGAAGCAAAAGAAAGAAAAUUUUACACUGCGACGUAUUCCUCCUGACGUUGAAACCUCGUGUAGACUCUCGAUU